AUGUUGAACGAAGAAAAUAUCUCGGCCAAGCAUUGUAAGGUGUUGUCUAUUGUUGGAUUCGGUGGAUUAGGAAAGACAACACUGGCAAAUGAGGUUUAUCGGAAGAUUGAAGGGCAUUUUGAUUGUCAGGCUUUCGUAUCGGUCUCACAAAAGCAUGUUAUACAGAAAAUUAUCAAGGAUGUGAUCUACAAAGUGCCUUGCCCCGAUGGAUUUAUGAAAGAUAUUGACAAUUGGGACGAAACGACAUCCAUUGCAAAGCUAAGAGAAUUGCUACAGGAUAAAAGGUAUAUCGUCAUAAUUGAUGAUAUAUGGUGCACACAAGCAUGGAACACUAUCAAGUGUGCUUUCCCGGAGAAUAACCGUUCUAGCAGAAUUAUGACCACUACACGCAUUAUGGACGUGGCAAGUUCAUGUUGUCCAGGUGGCGAUGAUCAUGUGUAUGAAAUGGCAGCCCUAAGUGAUCUUCAUUCCAAAAUGUUGUUUCUCAAGAGAAUUUUUGGCUCCGAGGACCGCUGCCCUGAUAUGCUGAAAGAAGUUUCCAAUCAAAUCCUAAAAAAAUGUGGGGGCCUCCCAUUGGCAAUUCUUAGUAUAGCUAGUAUGUUAGCAAAUAGACCAGCUGUCAAGGAGGAGUGGGAGCAGAUUAAAAGAUCAAUUGGGUCUGCACUGGAAAAAGAUCGAAGUCUAGAGGGAGUGAGUAGCAUACUGUCCCUUAGCUACAAUGAUCUUCCACCUAAUCUCAAGACUUGUUUAUUGUAUUUAUGUAUAUUCUCUGAGGAUUAUGUGAUUAAUAGAGAGAGGUUAGUGAGGCGGUGGAUAGCGGAAGGAUUUAUCUCUGAAGAGCGUGGACAAAGCCGGCAAGAAGUCGCUGAGAGAUAUUUCUACGAGCUUAUCAACAAAAGCAUGGUACAGCCUGAGGACAUCGGCUAUGAUGGCAAGGCUCGUGCUUGCCGAGUCCAUGACAUGAUGUUAGAAAUUAUUAUUUCAAAAUCAAAUGAAGAUAAUUUCAUAGUUGUGGUAGGUGGUGGCCAAACGAAUUUGGCUAAUCGUCAAGAUUUUAUACGGCGACUAUCAAUCCAGCACAUUGAUCAUGAGCUUGCACAUUUACUCGCACAAGAAGAUCUAAGCCAUGUUCGAUCUCUGACAGUAACAUCGUCAGCUUGCAUCAAACACUUGCCGAGUCUUGCUAAAUUUGAAGCUCUACGUGUAAUAGAUUUUGAAGGCUGUGAGGGUUUGGAACAGUAUGAUAUGAAAAGUAUUGGCAAAUUGCUCCAACUAAAGUACAUUAACUUUAGAGGCACGAGUAUAUCAAAGCUACCACCAGGGAUCAUGAUGCUACGUGACCUAGAGACCCUAGAUUUUGGAUUUACACAAGUGGAAGAGUUGCCAGCUGGAUUUGUUCAGCUGUCUAAACUACAACACCUAAUUGGUGGAAAUAGGACAAUUAUACCAAACAAGAUUGGGAAUAUGAGGAACUUACGACAGAUAUCAGGGUUUAGUAUUACCGGGAGUCCAGAAGAUUCGGUGGAGGAUCUUGGAAACCUGCCAGGUUUAGAGGAAAUCGAUGUACAUCUCAUUGGAGGAUCUUUCAAGUUCAGGAGGCAUGAAGAAAUGUUACUUUCCUCACUGUGCAAGCUUGGCAGCUGCAAGCUCCAGUCUUUAUGGAUAAGUAGGCACUGUGGUUCCCUCGAGUUCUUAGAAUCAUGGUCCCCAUUGCCAAUAUCCCUUAAGGUAUUCUAUAUGGACAGCGACUACUAUUUCACGAAAGUUCCAGAGUGGAUUGCUCCAGCACCAACCAGCCUUUCUUUCCUAUACAUCAAUUUAGCUGAACUAACAGAGGAAAGUUUGCACACACUUGGGGAGCUCCCGGGCUUACUUUGCCUAAAACUACGGUGGAAAACAAACCCAGGAGAAAGGCUUACAGUCCAGGGCACUGGGUUCCCAAGUCUGAAGAAGUUGGUGCUAUAUGAUUGCGCAUACGUUACAUUUGUAAAAGGGGCUAUGCCCAAGCUUGAGAACCUCAAGCUGUCAUUUGCUGUGUCAGUAGCAAAAAGUUAUGGCUUCUAUUUAGGCAUUGAACAUCUCACAUGUCUCAAAAAAGAAAGGGUACUCUUUGAAACUGAAGAUUCAGAAAGCAAGGCUGCAGUUGCUGCAAUCACUAAGGAAGUAGGUGCCCAUCCCAACCAUCCUAUACUUAGUGUCAGUGGCCCCAUUCAUUUCACCGAGCACACCUGUUCUCUGCCUGGAACUCGGGAAGUGAUACGGCCUAUGAAGAGGUGGCCAACAAUGAGGAAAAUGUCAAGGAGGAUAGCGACAGUCCGAUUCGAGGGAACUGAAAUGGUCAUUGCCCCUAUGCAGUGUUCCUCCUGGUUAUAUGGCACAUGCUUGAGGGUAUGA
RNAcentral lists this ribosomal RNA (2394 nucleotides) under Triticum aestivum (bread wheat). RNAcentral's name for it is "partial small subunit ribosomal RNA". Lineage: Eukaryota; Viridiplantae; Streptophyta; Magnoliopsida; Poales; Poaceae. The record is from RNAcentral.